Panthera uncia (snow leopard) is the source of this 531-nucleotide long non-coding RNA. RefSeq lists it as uncharacterized. Lineage: Eukaryota; Metazoa; Chordata; Mammalia; Carnivora; Felidae. The record is from RefSeq and is a predicted model, not a curated record. The transcript has 4 exons.
ACUCAUGCCACCUUUUAACGUCGAAUCCCAUUCAAGAUUCUUCUUUCUGAAAACACUAUUUUUAGAUGUGGACUUGAGGACAGGACCGCAAACGAUGACCAUCUUCUGAAGUGCUCUUCUCAGAGACACAGGCAAACAGGGGUCAGGUCCUGGUUUCAAGGCUGCGUAGCGAUGAUCUCCUUGGCGACUGCAAGCCCCGCCUCCUCCCCUUGGAGCAUAACGCUGCGUCCCUGGCUGCAGAAUGUACUUAUGAUGUCGUUUCAAUAGAAACGAAUGUAUGUCAGCAAUCGGAUGACGACUCCAGGGAGAAUCUAUUUACGCUCUUGAUUAUCUGUGCACGUGGAACAUUCUCCAAGACAGAUCACGUGUUAGGCCACAAAACAAGUCUCAACAAGUUUAACAAGACUGAAAUCAUAUCAAGCCUCUUUUGUGACCACAAGGGUACGUAACUAGAAAUCUAUUGCAAGAAAAAAAUACUGGAAAGACACAAACACGUGGAAAGAAAACCACGAAUGGGUCAACCAAAAAUUC